UGGCAAUGAUGACAAAAAGGCCGGACUUACGGCUGCUACUAAUUGUUCGUUUGGUAGUAGAAUGAUUAUUCUUCCUGUAAGGUGUACGUGCUGAGCCAG
Non-coding RNA from Citrus sinensis (sweet orange), 99 nucleotides. NCBI's taxonomy places the organism in Eukaryota, Viridiplantae, Streptophyta, Magnoliopsida, Sapindales, Rutaceae. The record is from Rfam.